This 213-nucleotide long non-coding RNA is filed under the name Gossypium raimondii (Peruvian cotton). RNAcentral's name for it is "long non-coding RNA (GRAI_LNC003650)". Lineage: Eukaryota; Viridiplantae; Streptophyta; Magnoliopsida; Malvales; Malvaceae. The record is from RNAcentral.
GGAGUGGAAACAAUAUCAAAUAGCGAGGAUGCUACAAAAUAUAUAAGGGGUUUUUUCUUUUUCUUUUCUUCUUAGGACAUGUUAGGUUAAAUUAUUUUUAAUUACUUUUAUUUUCUUUUUAUACAUAAUAAAUAUUAAUUUGCAAUUAUGAAUAAAUUACGUAAAUUUACAUAUCAAAUUUUUAAAUCUACAAAAAAAGAGAAGUGUGUUAAU